This 22-nucleotide small nuclear RNA is filed under the name Arabidopsis thaliana (thale cress). Its description in RNAcentral is "snRNA_16392". Lineage: Eukaryota; Viridiplantae; Streptophyta; Magnoliopsida; Brassicales; Brassicaceae. The record is from RNAcentral.
CUAACAAGGAUUCCCUUAGUAA